GAAAUGCGAUACGUAGUGUGAAUCGCAGGGAUCAGUGAAUCAUCGAAUCUUUGAACGCAAGUUGCGCUCUCGUGGUUUAACCCCCCGGGAGCACGUUCGCUUGAGUGCCGCUUCUAUCCAUUAACAAGUCCCAUUAUAUAUAUAUAUGUA
Molecule: unclassified non-coding RNA, 150 nt
Filed under: plant metagenome
Description: partial contains 5.8S ribosomal RNA, internal transcribed spacer 2, and large subunit ribosomal RNA
Rfam family: 5.8S ribosomal RNA (bases 1-110)
About the family: 5.8S ribosomal RNA (5.8S rRNA) is a component of the large subunit of the eukaryotic ribosome. It is transcribed by RNA polymerase I as part of the 45S precursor that also contains 18S and 28S rRNA. Functionally, it is thought that 5.8S rRNA may be involved in ribosome translocation.
Source: RNAcentral